UACGUAGGCAGCGAGCGUUGUUCGGAAUUACUGGGCGUAAAGAGUGUGUAGGCGGUGCUCUAAGUUCGGUGUGAAAUCUCCCGGCUCAACUGGGAGGGUGCGCCGGAAACUGCCGGACUAGAGUGCGGGAGAGGAGAGUGGAAUUCCUGGUGUAGCGGUGAAAUGCGCAGAUAUCAGGAGGAACACCAAUGGCGAAGGCAGCUCGCUGGGACGGUACUGACGCUGAGACGCGAAAGCGUGGGGAGCAAACAGG
This 253-nucleotide ribosomal RNA is filed under the name uncultured bacterium. RNAcentral's name for it is "partial 16S ribosomal RNA". It matches the Rfam family "Bacterial small subunit ribosomal RNA", at positions 524 to 776 of the family's 1533-position model. The record is from RNAcentral.